GGUGGGGUGGCUGAGCGGUCGAAAGCGGCACACUGCUAACGUGUUAAGGGCGUUAAACCCCUUCGAGGGUUCGAAUCCCUCCCCCACCG
RNAcentral lists this transfer RNA (89 nucleotides) under bacterium. Its description in RNAcentral is "tRNA-Ser". It matches the Rfam family "tRNA". Rfam says of the family: Transfer RNA (tRNA) molecules are approximately 80 nucleotides in length. The record is from RNAcentral.